AUCAUUUUAUGGCUGAUAUGUGUGAUGAGGGGGUUUUCACACUCUUAUGUGGGAUGGGAAACGUCUUUAGAACAGUGGCACUUUACCUGUCUUAUA
This 96-nucleotide small nucleolar RNA is filed under the name Chlorocebus sabaeus (green monkey). RNAcentral's name for it is "Small nucleolar RNA U13". It matches the Rfam family "Small nucleolar RNA U13". The record is from Rfam by way of RNAcentral. Lineage: Eukaryota; Metazoa; Chordata; Mammalia; Primates; Cercopithecidae.